Molecule: non-coding RNA, 165 nt
Filed under: Candidatus Centipeda massiliensis
Lineage: Bacteria; Bacillati; Bacillota; Negativicutes; Selenomonadales; Selenomonadaceae
Source: RNAcentral
GAAACAGGUGCGGCGCAAAUGCGCAUGCUUAAUAGAGAAGCCGGAUGAGCCGGCGCGGUCCCGCCACUGUGAGGGGAGCAAACCUGCAUUGUGUCACUGGGAGGGAUAUCCUCAUGGGAAGGCGCAGGGGAGUGAUGAACCGAGUCAGGAGAACUGCCUGUUUGA